UCAUUCAUUCCUAAAUCCCUCCCUCGUUCCAUUCUACCAUUCAUUCUGUACUGAAUACCAUAAGUGAGAGCACGUGAAGUUGUGUCCGCAAUUUAAUUUAAAAUAGAAUCAAAAUUUUGAGAUCAAUACAUACUUUAAAAUUAUUCAAGUCACUUUCAGUUAUUAUUUUUGAAACAUGUCUAGAUACCGUGAGUGGGACCUAUCUUGCAAAGUUUACGUUGGCAAUCUCGGUACAAAUGCAUCAAAAUAUGAAAUAGAAAAAGUUUUUUCUAAAUACGGCAAUAUCAGAAAUGUAUGGGUUGCGAGGAAUCCACCCGGCUUCGCAUUUGUGGAAUUUGAAGACCCACGUGACGCUGAAGACUCUGUGAGAGGCUUAGAUGGAACACGGUGCUGCGGGACGCGCAUACGUGUUGAGAUGUCCAACGGCCGCACCAGAAGAGAUCGCAGGUACUCCAGGUCCAUUUUAUCAACCAACCACCAACACACCAACGACCUCACCACAUCUCUUCACAACAACUACGGCUCGUUUGCCAAUAUGCCAUCCGCGAACGCCGCUCGCAACAACAUCCCGCUCAACUUCUGCGGUCGGCUCUCCAAACUUCUGCGCGCUGCUGAAGUCUCCAACAACUGCGUUCCUAUAACUAUACUCCUUACAGCUGUUACCUAGUCCUUGACCAUAUCCGAAUUUGGACCGACACAAACCGUUGAGAGCCGCACAAUGUAGGAACCGACAACCAUCCUGAAUCAUUGCAAACUCCUGAUGCUUCACCGACUGCACACACUCGUCGUCAUCGUGGCACCAAGCUACACUAACGGCGAUCGACUCUCCCCGUGUUACCGCAAUUUUUCUCAAAACUUCCGAUUCACCGUUCGACGGAAGAUAACACUGAAACUCGCCUCCGCCUCGGUUAAAUCCCUUCAGCUUCACAGCAGCCGCACAACGGUCAACCUUCUACGCAGGCUCACCAUUUCUCGGUCCCGCAGCCGCAGCCCGCGGCGCCGCUCGUACUCCCGCGGACGCUCGCUGUCUCCGCGUCGCUCGCCGUCCGUGCGCCGCCGCUCGCCCUCGAUCCGCCGCUCCCGGUCACGCGACAGACGCAGCCGGUCCGAUAGCAAGAGCAGGUUGGUACUAGGAUCGUCGCCAACGCGUGGCGAAAACGCAAAGGACAUUGUACAAAAUGAGUAAACGUUAAUGUUAACAUGUGAAGUGAAUGUGAAUUAGGAAUGCGAGUUAUGUACUGAAUUAAUAUUAUUAUUUUUGUAUAGGGUUUCAGAGUAAUUGCAGCUUUCAUCCGUUUUAUUACCUUCACUUGUAAGUUGGUAUAUUGUUGUAUAAAUUGUUUAAUUAUAGCUAAAUAUACCUUAUUACAUAAGUAACGAGAACUAAAUACAUACAUAUUGUAGUAAUAUUAAGAUGACUUUUAAUAUAACGAGAUAUAAAGAAAAA
RNA transcript from Manduca sexta (tobacco hornworm), 1447 nucleotides. It is a transcript of the gene named RNA-binding protein 1, with no coding region annotated. The transcript is spliced from 6 exons. Lineage: Eukaryota; Metazoa; Arthropoda; Insecta; Lepidoptera; Sphingidae. The record is from RefSeq and is a predicted model, not a curated record.